RNAcentral lists this long non-coding RNA (2518 nucleotides) under Equus caballus (horse). Its description in RNAcentral is "lncRNA (ENSECAG00000035631.3)". Lineage: Eukaryota; Metazoa; Chordata; Mammalia; Perissodactyla; Equidae. The record is from RNAcentral.
GUGUGUGUGUGUGUGUGUGUGUGUGUGUACAGAGAGAGCAUCCCAACCUGCUAAUUCUGUAAUGUCUUGUUCUUAGAGAAAUAAUCUUUUUUGUGGUAAAGAAACAUUUAUUUAAGUUUUGACAACUUCAGUUUAUUUUUGUUCUAUGAAAUAAGUAAAAUUUAAAUGUAAUGAUAUUUUUUCUUUUAAAGACUCCAGUACCCAUUUAGGAGGUUGCUCAUUAAGCAGUUCUGACGCUGACUUCCUCCCUGACAGCCGUCAAGGAUCAUAAAGUGUGCGAAUAAGGCAGAGCCUCGGUUAGAUUUGAAGCUCCAGCAGCCAGCAGCGUGCUUUGUCCAUAGUUGCUGCUUAAUAAAUGUGUGUUAAAUUGGAUCAUUUUGUUGCUAAUUAUGCAGAGUGUUGUACCAGAUAACAUACAACAAAAGCAGGGCCGACAGGCCUCUGGAAUCUUCACUCGUGGAGGUACAAGGUGUCCCAUUUUUAAGGACUAUAUCUUCCAUUUCUCUUUUGCACCCACAGUCCAACUCUGGGAGAUUAAUUCAGACAUAGCCGAAGGGGAGAGGGCACAGCUGUCCUCAGAUGGGCUGCCUGUACUGAAAGGGAGAUCGAGUCCUUCUUUCUGUCUGGAACGUGGUUAGUGCUCCCUGCUCUAAAGUCAUGUUCUCUGGCCCCACAGUAAUUUCCUUCCUGGACAGCAGAUUCUGCUGGUGAAAAGCCCCGGCUGAGAUCCACCGGCUCCUCGGGCUCAGCCCCUUCCCGGCAGAGGGCAUGCUGGCUGCUGACGAAUGGAGCCUGGUUCAGGAAUGAGCAGAUGCUGCUGCUGACAGGUGCUGCCAGGCGUGCUGGGACAUCCACUGAGCACCAUCGGCCUUGCACUUCCGCGGUCCUGCGGCCCCCCAACGUCAGCUCUCCUCCAACCCGUGUGGAAGGUGACAGAGAGCAGCUCAGGGUUUAGUGAAAACACCCUGCCAGGAUGGAACUGGCUUUCGCUGUUAUUAACAGGCUCUGGAGAAGGAAAACCAGGGCUAAAUGCCUGUCGCCUCUUUAUCUGCAUCUAUAUAGCUCGAAGAUCCCUCUCUUUCACCCUGCCUAGCCCUCUCUCGCUCUCGUUUGCACCCGGGUGCAAUCAAUAUUCCGCUCGAUCACAGAUUCCAGACCUGCCAGGCUGGGAUGGCGGUUCCUGUGCUGACUCAUCCACUCAGCCUGUCACCAUCACGUGCUCCCUCUGCCAGAAAGGCCACGUGGUGGGAUCUCCAGCUCUGGCUCAUCGUUGCUCCAAUCAGUUUCCUUUUCCCUUUUCCCCAGAAUGUUAUUUGAGUCCUCUUCUGUCCCCUGUCGCCCUGGGAGUCCCAGAGAGGCAUUAACAUAGGCUUGGGUUUUGCAGGACACUGAUGGAAGGUGGGCACGGAAUAGCAUUGUUCCCUGCCAGCAUCAAGAAGCAGCCACUAAACAGAGGGAAGCACAAACGCUGGUGACCAAGGGCGAGGUCUGGAGCUAAUAACACACUGUAAAUAGCAGCCCGCCCCCCAGGAUGAUAUUUUCUGUUCCCAGCUGUCGAGUGAUGGAGGUUUCCAGCUGGCUGGACCUCAGAGAUCGCUGCGUUCAACAUCCUGUCUCCACAGAGGAGACACAAGGACACUGAGAUAGGCUGUGGCUUCCCCGAGGUCACACGGCUGGGCAGGGUCCUGGGUCCGGUCCAGGGAUAUUUCCUCGCCUCCUUUAAGUGUAAUCUCUUUGUGUGCUACUGUCCAAAUUGUUUAUUCUGCAAGUGUUUUACUCUGCAAAGGCUGCUUUGGACCCGUGGACCGACAGGGAUGCUGGCAGAGAGACCGGCAGGGGGAAGCGUGCUUCUACACAGUGGUGAUGGGAGGUCACCCUGCAGCCAGGGGUACUCGGGGUAAGGGCAGAGUGGGCGCGGCUUCCUCAUGGAGGAUCCCCUGGGGAUUACAGGAGCUGAGGCUCUCAUCUGCCUCUCUAGGAGAGUUCAGUGGCAGAGGACAGACAGAGGCUUCACACUGGAGAUUUUGAAGAAGGUGAUGGGCAAUUUGGCAUUCUGCACCUUUGGGUCACAAAGCAGUGUGAUCUCUUCUGAAAAGUUCUUUUUCCAACCUUGUGGAAAUCUCUGCAGGAAAAUGGUGCUUGGCUCCCGUUAAUUCCACUCCCCUGGUUUGCAACAAAGGAGACGCUGGCUCACAAACUAAGGAGGGAAAGGGGGACCAUCAGGGCUUACCAAGCCGAACUGCCACUCCAGGCAAGGAAACAAGCUCAGCCAACUUUCAAAUGCUACCAUUGGAAAUAUUACAAUAACUCUGAAGUUUCUGCCAAGACAUACUGCCACCUUCGGUGAUGACGGUCAUUCCGUCACCAAGCCCAGGACCUUGGCGCUUCCUAUGCCUCCCUCUCUUCCACCAGGGUCGAGUUUGCUAGAUGCUGAGACCCUGCCCUAGCUUCCUUCCACCUCACCAUGGCCUCCAACCACUCCCCCGGUCCAGGCUUUGCUCCCCACAGCACAGAGUCC